AUUACAGCGAGAAAGGAGAACUUGGACCAAUUGCUGCAGCAAGAGUUGACCAGAUUACAGCUGAAUUGCAAUCAUCAGAUGGCAGCAAACCAUUCGACCCUGUUGAGCACAUGAAAGCUGGCUUUAUUCACUUCAAAACUGAGAAAUAUGAGUAAGCUAAUUCAUUUUCUUCAAAUUAAAAUUUCUGCCUAAUAUUUCAAGAACAAAUAAUUUCGAAUAAUUAGUUCCUGAUAAUUCAAUUUUUUCUUUCAUUAUAUAUUAUCAGGAAAAACCCAGCCUUAUAUGGAGAACUAUCAAAAGGCCAGAGCCCCAAGGUACAAAUUCAUGCUACUGUGUCAAUUUAUUGUCAACAAUUGGUUCCUCCUUUUAAAAUUAAACUAGUCUGGGUUGUCCAAUAGGGCUUAGUUUAGGUGUCUAAAUGAAAAAUUCGGACAAGUUUAAGUGUCUGUCUGUAUUGACUCUUAUAAGUCCAAGUUCGAUAGCUGAUGAUUGCUAUUGCCAUCUAUGUGUAACAG
This 515-nucleotide long non-coding RNA is filed under the name Nicotiana tabacum (common tobacco). RNAcentral's name for it is "long non-coding RNA (NTAB_LNC002294)". The record is from RNAcentral. Lineage: Eukaryota; Viridiplantae; Streptophyta; Magnoliopsida; Solanales; Solanaceae.